AGUGAACGCUGGCGGUAGGCCUAACACAUGCAAGUCGAACGGCAGCACAGUAAUAGCUUGCUCUUACGGGUGGCGAGUGGCGGACGGGUGAGGAAUACAUCGGAAUCUACUUUUUCGUGGGUGAUAACGUAGGGAAACUUACGCUAAUACCGCAUACGACCUACGGGUGAAAUCAGGGGAUCUUCGGACCUUGCGCGAUUGAAUGAGCCGAUGUCGGAUUAGCUAGUUGGCGGGGUAAAGGCCCACCAAGGCGACGAUCCGUAGCUGGUCUGAGAGGAUGAUCAGCCACACUGGAACUGAGACACGGUCCAGACUCCUACGGGAGGCAGCAGUGGGGAAUAUUGGACAAUGGGCGCAAGCCUGAUCCAGCCAUACCGCGUGGGUGAAGAAGGCCUUCGGGUUGUAAAGCCCUUUUGUUGGGAAAGAAAAGCAGCAGGUUAAUACCCCGCUGUUCUGACGGUACCAAAAGAAUAAGCACCGGCUAACUUCGUG
RNAcentral lists this ribosomal RNA (492 nucleotides) under uncultured bacterium. RNAcentral describes it as "partial 16S ribosomal RNA". It matches the Rfam family "Bacterial small subunit ribosomal RNA", at positions 29 to 507 of the family's 1533-position model. The record is from RNAcentral.